AUUGAACGCUGGCGGCAUGCUUUACACAUGCAAGUCGAACGGCAGCGCGGGCUUCGGCCUGGCGGCGAGCGGCGAACGGGUGAGUAAUACAUCGGAACGUGCCCAGUAGUGGGGGAUAGCUCGGCGAAAGCCGGAUUAAUACCGCAUACGACCUGAGGGUGAAAGCGGGGGAUCUUCGGACCUCGCGCUAUUGGAGCGGCCGAUGGCAGAUUAGCUAGUUGGUGGGAUAAAGGCCUACCAAGGCGACGAUCUGUAGCUGGUCUGAGAGGACGACCAGCCACACUGGGACUGAGACACGGCCCAGACUCCUACGGGAGGCAGCAGUGGGGAAUUUUGGACAAUGGGCGAAAGCCUGAUCCAGCAAUGCCGCGUGUGUGAUGAAGGCCUUCGGGUUGUAAAGCACUUUUGGCGGGAACGAAAAGGACUGUGCCAAUACCACGGUUCGAUGACGGUACCCGCAGAAUAAGCACCGGCUAACUACGUG
RNAcentral lists this ribosomal RNA (484 nucleotides) under uncultured bacterium. RNAcentral's name for it is "partial 16S ribosomal RNA". It matches the Rfam family "Bacterial small subunit ribosomal RNA", at positions 29 to 507 of the family's 1533-position model. The record is from RNAcentral.